RNAcentral lists this long non-coding RNA (258 nucleotides) under Manacus vitellinus (golden-collared manakin). Its description in RNAcentral is "lncRNA (ENSMVIG00005018810.1)". The record is from RNAcentral. Lineage: Eukaryota; Metazoa; Chordata; Aves; Passeriformes; Pipridae.
CGCAACCACAGCUGCUCCAGCGCUGGGGCGAAAGGCAGCCGCAUCCUGCCAUUCCUGCUGGAAACAGAAGGCACACGUCUAUCCAAACAGUCUCCCUCUGCGGAUGCAUCAAAACCACAGAUUAUGAAGCCAUCUGAAACCAGGUCAGCACUGACAACCAAAGCAGGAUCUGAAAAAACCACCCAGUCAGCCAAGGUAAGUACUUAACUUUCACUUUUGCAGAGUUGUUGUACUUUGGUCUUUUACUAACUUAGAGGC